CCUACGGGUGGCAGCAGUGGGGAAUAUUGGACAAUGGGGGCAACCAUGAUCCAGCCAUGCCGCGUGUGUGAAGAAGGCCCUCGGGUUGUAAAGCACUUUCAGUGAGGAAGAACGCCUGGUGGUUAAUACCCAUCAGGAAAGACAUCACUCACAGAAGAAGCACCGGCUAACUCCGUGCCAGCAGCCGCGGUAAUACGGAGGGUGCGAGCGUUAAUCGGAAUUACUGGGCGUAAAGCGCGCGUAGGUGGCUUGAUAAGCCGGUUGUGAAAGCCCCGGGCUCAACCUGGGAACGGCAUCCGGAACUGUCAAGCUAGAGUGCAGGAGAGGAAGGUAGAAUUCCCGGUGUAGCGGUGAAAUGCGUAGAGAUCGGGAGGAAUACCAGUGGCGAAGGCGGCCUUCUGGACUGACACUGACACUGAGGUGCGAAAGCGUGGGUAGCAAACAGGAUUAGAUACCCUGGUAGUC
This 465-nucleotide ribosomal RNA is filed under the name Vreelandella stevensii. RNAcentral's name for it is "partial 16S ribosomal RNA". It matches the Rfam family "Bacterial small subunit ribosomal RNA", at positions 338 to 795 of the family's 1533-position model. The record is from RNAcentral. Lineage: Bacteria; Pseudomonadati; Pseudomonadota; Gammaproteobacteria; Oceanospirillales; Halomonadaceae.